GGCCGGUUAGCUCAGUUGGUUAGAGCGUGGUGCUAAUAUCCCUAGAUAUUGUUCGUAAUACGCCAAGGUCAAGGGUUCGACCCCCUUACGGGCCA
Molecule: non-coding RNA, 95 nt
Organism: Mycena floridula
Lineage: Eukaryota; Fungi; Basidiomycota; Agaricomycetes; Agaricales; Mycenaceae
Source: the annotation of a GenBank genome assembly